This 79-nucleotide transfer RNA is filed under the name Apaloderma vittatum (bar-tailed trogon). It matches the Rfam family "tRNA". Rfam says of the family: Transfer RNA (tRNA) molecules are approximately 80 nucleotides in length. Their secondary structure includes four short double-helical elements and three loops (D, anti-codon, and T loops). Lineage: Eukaryota; Metazoa; Chordata; Aves; Trogoniformes; Trogonidae. The record is from Rfam by way of RNAcentral.
GCCGAUUAGCUCAGUGGUUUGAGCGCGGUGCUGGCAACAAUGACAACACCAAGGUUGCAGGUUCGAUUCCUGCUCGGUC